UUGGUUAAGUUAGAAAGGGCGCACGGUGGAUGCCUUGGCACUAGGAGCCGAAGAAGGACGGGACUAACACCGAUAUGCUUUGGGGAGCUGUACGUAAGCGUUGAUCCAGAGAUUUCCGAAUGGGGGAACCCACUAUCUUUAGUCGGAUAGUAUCCUUACGUGAAUACAUAGCGUGAGGAAGGCAGACCCAGGGAACUGAAACAUCUAAGUACCUGGAGGAAGAGAAAGAAAAAUCGAUUUCCUGAGUAGCGGCGAGCGAAACGGAAAGAGCCCAAACCAAGAAGCUUGCUUCUUGGGGUUGUAGGACACUCUAUACGGAGUUACAAAAGAAAGUUAUAAAUGAAGCGGUCUGGAAAGGCCCGCCAAAGACGGUAACAGCCCGGUAGUUGAAAUAGCUUUCCCUCCAGAGUGGAUCCUGAGUACGGCGGAACACGUGAAAUUCCGUCGGAAUCCGGGAGGACCAUCUCCCAAGGCUAAAUACUCCCUAGUGACCGAUAGUGAACCAGUACCGUGAGGGAAAGGUGAAAAGCACCCCGGAAGGGGAGUGAAACAGUUCCUGAAACCGUGUGCCUACAAGUAGUUAGAGCCCGUUAAUGGGUGAUAGCGUGCCUUUUGUAGAAUGAACCGGCGAGUUACGAUUUGUUGCAAGGUUAAGCGGAAAAAGCGGAGCCGUAGCGAAAGCGAGUCUGAAUAGGGCGCAUAAGUAACAGGUCGUAGACCCGAAACCAGGUGAUCUACCCAUGUCCAGGAUGAAGGUAAGGUAAUACUUACUGGAGGUCCGAACCCACGCACGUUGAAAAGUGCGGGGAUGAGGUGUGGGUAGCGGAGAAAUUCCAAUCGAACUUGGAGAUAGCUGGUUCUCUCCGAAAUAGCUUUAGGGCUAGCCUCGAGGUAAAGAGUCAUGGAGGUAGAGCACUGUUUGGACUAGGGGCCCUUCUCGGGUUACCGAAUUCAGAUAAACUCCGAAUGCCAUGUACUUAUACUCGGGAGUCAGACUGCGAGUGAUAAGAUCCGUAGUCGAAAGGGAAACAGCCCAGACCACCAGUUAAGGUCCCCAAAUAUAUGUUAAGUGGAAAAGGAUGUGGGGUUGCUUAGACAACCAGGAUGUUGGCUUAGAAGCAGCCACCAUUGAAAGAGUGCGUAAUAGCUCACUGGUCGAGUGACCCCGCGCCGAAAAUGUACCGGGGCUAAACAUAUUACCGAAACUGUGGAUGAACCUCUUUAGAGGUUCGUGGUAGGAGAGCGUUCUAAGGGCGGUGAAGUCAGACCGGAAGGACUGGUGGAGCGCUUAGAAGUGAGAAUGCCGGUAUGAGUAGCGAAAGAAGGGUGAGAAUCCCUUCCACCGAAUAUCUAAGGUUUCCUGAGGAAGGCUCGUCCGCUCAGGGUUAGUCGGGACCUAAGCCGAGGCCGAUAGGCGUAGGCGAUGGACAACAGGUAGAGAUUCCUGUACCAGUGCUAAUUGUUUAACCGAUGGGGUGACACAGAAGGAUAGGGAAUCGCACGAAUGGAAAUGUGCGUCCAAGCAGUGAGUGUGAGAAGUAGGCAAAUCCGCUUCUCGCGAAGCAUGAGCUGUGAUGGGGAAGGAAAUUAAGUACGGAAGUUCCUGAUUUCACGCUGUCAAGAAAAGCCUCUAGGAAGAGUAGUACUGCCCGUACCGCAAACCGACACAGGUAGAUGAGGAGAGAAUCCUAAGGUGAGCGAGAGAACUCUCGUUAAGGAACUCGGCAAAAUGACCCCGUAACUUCGGGAGAAGGGGUGCUCUAUUAGGGUGCAAGCCCGAGAGAGCCGCAGUGAAUAGGCCCAGGCGACUGUUUAGCAAAAACACAGGUCUCUGCAAAACCGUAAGGUGACGUAUAGGGGCUGACGCCUGCCCGGUGCUGGAAGGUUAAGAGGAGUGCUUAGCUUCGGCGAAGG
This 1914-nucleotide ribosomal RNA is filed under the name Listeria monocytogenes. RNAcentral describes it as "partial 23S ribosomal RNA". It matches the Rfam family "Bacterial large subunit ribosomal RNA", at positions 1 to 1905 of the family's 2925-position model. Lineage: Bacteria; Bacillati; Bacillota; Bacilli; Caryophanales; Listeriaceae. The record is from RNAcentral.